RNAcentral lists this ribosomal RNA (490 nucleotides) under uncultured bacterium. RNAcentral describes it as "partial 16S ribosomal RNA". It matches the Rfam family "Bacterial small subunit ribosomal RNA", at positions 30 to 507 of the family's 1533-position model. The record is from RNAcentral.
AUUGAACGCUGGCGGCAGGCCUAACACAUGCAAGUCGAACGGUAACAGGAAGCAGCUUGCUGCUUUGCUGACGAGUGGCGGACGGGUGAGUAAUGUCUGGGAAACUGCCUGAUGGAGGGGGAUAACUACUGGAAACGGUAGCUAAUACCGCAUAACGUCGCAAGACCAAAGAGGGGGACCUUAGGGCCUCUUGCCAUCGGAUGUGCCCAGAUGGGAUUAGCUAGUAGGUGGGGUAACGGCUCACCUAGGCGACGAUCCCUAGCUGGUCUGAGAGGAUGACCAGCCACACUGGAACUGAGACACGGUCCAGACUCCUACGGGAGGCAGCAGUGGGGAAUAUUGCACAAUGGGCGCAAGCCUGAUGCAGCCAUGCCGCGUGUAUGAAGAAGGCCUUCGGGUUGUAAAGUACUUUCGGCGGGGAGGAAGGGAGUAAAGUUAAUACCUUGGCUCAUUGACGUUACCCGAAGAAGAAGCACCGGCUAACUCCGUG